This 498-nucleotide ribosomal RNA is filed under the name uncultured bacterium. RNAcentral describes it as "partial 16S ribosomal RNA". It matches the Rfam family "Bacterial small subunit ribosomal RNA", at positions 30 to 523 of the family's 1533-position model. The record is from RNAcentral.
AUUGAACGCUGGCGGCAUGCCUUAUACAUGCAAGUCGAACGGCAGCACGGGGCAACCUGGUGGCGAGUGGCGAACGGGUGAGUAAUGCAUCGGAACGUACCUUUCAGUGGGGGAUAACGUAGCGAAAGUUACGCUAAUACCGCAUAUUCUGUGAGCAGGAAAGCAGGGGAUCGCAAGACCUUGCGCUGAUUGAGCGGCCGAUGUCAGAUUAGCUAGUUGGUGAGGUAAAGGCUCACCAAGGCGACGAUCUGUAGCGGGUCUGAGAGGAUGAUCCGCCACACUGGAACUGAGACACGGUCCAGACUCCUACGGGAGGCAGCAGUGGGGAAUUUUGGACAAUGGGGGCAACCCUGACCCAGCCAUGCCGCGUGAGUGAAGAAGGCCUUCGGGUUGUAAAGCUCUUUCGGCCGGGAAGAAAUCGCACGGGCUAAUACCCUGUGUGGACGACGGUACCGGAAUAAGAAGCACCGGCUAACUACGUGCCAGCCGCCGCGGUAA